GAAGAAGGGAAAGUUGUGAGGAAACAAGUGUGAUAAGAUGGUGUCCCCGAUGUCAACGAUUCUGGUGACGGGUGGGGCGGGCUUCAUCGGAUCCCACACGGUGCUUCAGCUUCUCAAGCAGGGUUUCCGGGUUACCAUAAUCGACAACCUCGACAACUCCGUCAUCGAAGCCGUUCACAGGGUUCGCCGUCUUGUCGGUCCUCACCUUUCCAACAACCUCACCUUCUGCCACGGCGACCUCCGCAAUCCCAACGAUUUGGAGCCACUCUUCUCCCAGACCA
RNAcentral lists this long non-coding RNA (281 nucleotides) under Phaseolus vulgaris (common bean). RNAcentral describes it as "long non-coding RNA (PVUL_LNC003945)". The record is from RNAcentral. Lineage: Eukaryota; Viridiplantae; Streptophyta; Magnoliopsida; Fabales; Fabaceae.